AGUCGCCUUUUGCGAAAAUUACGGCUCCAAUCACUGCGUUGAGCCUUUUUAGACAUAGGGCCUCCAUUACCUAGUUGCCUUUUGCCAACAUUAAGGCUCCAAUCCCUGAGUUGAGCCUUUUAGACAUAGAGCUUCCAUUACCUAGUCGCCUUUUCUUCCAAUAUUAGGGCUCAAAUCCCUGAGUUGAGCCUUUUAGACAUAGGGCCACCAUUCCCAAGCCGCCUUUCACCAACAUUAGGGCUCCAAUCCCUGAGUUGAGCCUUUUAGACUUAGGGCCUCCAUUCCCUAGUCGCCUUUUGCGAACAUUAGGGCUUCAAUCUUUGAGUUUAGCCUUUUAGACAUAGUGCCUCCAUUCCCUAGUCACCUUUUACCAACAUUAGGGCUCUAAUCACUGAGUUGUGCCUUUUAGACAUGGGGCCUCCAUUCCCUAGUCUCCUUUUGCCAACAUUAGGGCACCAAUCCCUUAGUUGAGCCUUUUAGACAAAGGGUCUCCAUUCCCUAGUCGCCUUUUCUACCAAUAUUAGGGCUCCAAUCCCUGAGUUCAGCCUUUUAGGCAUGGGGCCUCCAUUCCCUAGUUGCCUUUUCUGCCAACAUUAGGGCUCCAAUCCCUGAGUUGAGCCUUUUAGACAU
This 630-nucleotide long non-coding RNA is filed under the name Nicotiana tabacum (common tobacco). RNAcentral's name for it is "long non-coding RNA (NTAB_LNC019514)". The record is from RNAcentral. Lineage: Eukaryota; Viridiplantae; Streptophyta; Magnoliopsida; Solanales; Solanaceae.